This 250-nucleotide ribosomal RNA is filed under the name uncultured bacterium. RNAcentral describes it as "partial 16S ribosomal RNA". It matches the Rfam family "Bacterial small subunit ribosomal RNA", at positions 87 to 339 of the family's 1533-position model. The record is from RNAcentral.
CGGUGCAAGUGGCAAACGGGAGAGUAACACAUUGAUAACCUGCCCUCAACUCAUGAAUAAUCCACCGAAAGGCGGACUAAUACAAGAUGGUCCCUACAAUCAUAAGAUUGUAGAGUAAAGAUUUAUCGGUUGAGGAGGGGUCUAUGUACUAUCAGCUUGUUGGUGUGAUAAAAGCGCACCAAGGCUAUGACGGUUAGCGGGUGUGAGAGCAUGACCCGUCUCAAUGGGACUGAGACACUGCCCAUACUCC